Molecule: ribosomal RNA, 514 nt
Filed under: uncultured marine bacterium
Lineage: Bacteria
Description: bacterial SSU rRNA
Rfam family: Bacterial small subunit ribosomal RNA
Source: RNAcentral
CGCUGGCGGCGUGCCUAAUACAUGCAAGUCGAGCGAAUGGAUUGAGAGCNUGCUCUCAUGAAGUUAGCGGCGGACGGGUGAGUAACACGUGGGUAACCUGCCCAUAAGACUGGGAUAACUCCGGGAAACCNGGGCUAAUACCGGAUAACAUUUUGAACUGCAUGGUUCGAAAUUGAAAGGCGGCUUCGGCUGUCACUUAUGGAUGGACCCGCGUCGCAUUAGCUAGUUGGUGAGGUAACGGCUCACCAAGGCAACGAUGCGUAGCCGACCUGAGAGGGUGAUCGGCCACACUGGGACUGAGACACGGCCCAGACUCCUACGGGAGGCAGCAGUAGGGAAUCUUCCGCAAUGGACGAAAGUCUGACGGAGCAACGCCGCGUGAGUGAUGAAGGCUUUCGGGUCGUAAAACUCUGUUGUUAGGGAAGAACAAGUGCUAGUUGAAUAAGCUGGCACCUUGACGGUACCUAACCAGAAAGCCACGGCUAACUACGUGCCAGCAGCCGCGGUAAUACGU